Molecule: ribosomal RNA, 440 nt
Filed under: uncultured bacterium
Lineage: Bacteria
Description: partial 16S ribosomal RNA
Rfam family: Bacterial small subunit ribosomal RNA
Source: RNAcentral
CCUACGGGAGGCAGCAGUGGGGAAUAUUGCACAAUGGGGGAAACCCUGAUGCAGCGACGCCGCGUGAGUGAAGAAGUAUUUCGGUAUGUAAAGCUCUGUCAGCAGGGAAGAAAAUGCCGGUACCUGACCAAGACGCCCCGGCUAACUACGUGCCAGCAGCCGCGGUAAUACGUAGGGGGCAAGCGUUAUCCGGAUUUACUGGGUGUAAAGGGAGCGUAGCCGGCAGGGCAAGUCUGGAGGUAAAGGCGGGGGCUCAACCCCCGGACUGCACUGGAAACUGGCAGGCUGGAGGGCAGGAGAGGUAAGUGGAAUGCCUGGUGUAGCGGUGAAAUGCGUAGAUAUUAGGAGGAACACCAGUGGCGAAGGCGGCUUACUGGACUGUAACUGACGUUGAGGCUCGAAAGCGUGGGGAGCAAACAGGAUUAGAUACCCUUGUAGUC